AAUAUUGCGCAAUGGAGGGAACUUUGACGCAGCGACGCCGUGUGAGCGAUGAAGGUUUUCGGAUCGUAAAGCUAUGUUCUUGGGGAAGAAGGUAUUCGGAAUUGACGGUACCUAACGCGGAAGCCCCGGCUAACAUCGUGCCAGCAGCCGCGGUAAUAUGUAGGGGGCAAGCGUUGUCCGGACUUAUUGGGCGUAAAGGGUGCGUAGGCGGCCUUUUAAGUCAGAUGUGAAAGCCCACGGCUUAACCGUGGGACUGCAUUUAAAACUGGAGAGCUUGAGUAUCGGAGAGGGUAGUGGAAUUCCCAGUGUAGCGGUGGAAUGCGUAGAUAUUAGGAGGAACACCAGUGGCGAAGGCGACUACCUGGACGAAAACUGACGCUGAGGCACGAAAGCUAGGGGAGCAAAC
RNAcentral lists this ribosomal RNA (406 nucleotides) under uncultured bacterium. RNAcentral describes it as "partial 16S ribosomal RNA". It matches the Rfam family "Bacterial small subunit ribosomal RNA", at positions 360 to 773 of the family's 1533-position model. The record is from RNAcentral.